RNAcentral lists this long non-coding RNA (1391 nucleotides) under Nicotiana benthamiana. RNAcentral's name for it is "long non-coding RNA (NBEN_LNC041538)". The record is from RNAcentral. Lineage: Eukaryota; Viridiplantae; Streptophyta; Magnoliopsida; Solanales; Solanaceae.
UUGUUGACUCCUAUUUUGGAGUGUUAAUUGUUGGUUAUAGCUAUUUGUUUCCAUUGAAAUAAAACCAAACAAACUUGAGUCCAAUAUUAGAUUCUUGCCAGAUGUCUUAAACAAAAUUAAGCGAAAUGAUUCAAAAGUUUAUAUGAAAAUAUUAACGAUGCCUCAAUUAUUUUAGACCGUCGUAUAUAUAUAUCUUAAACCCUUUGUAAUAUCACAUUAUUUUUUCGAUAUGAUGUAUCGGAUGUCCCCUUUGUCUAGGACUAAGAUGUAAUUAAUAUUGUCUGGUUUAAUUUUAGUAUAUGUCCGGUUCGAUUAAUUUGAAUACUUUAUUUUCAAAAAUACAUAACAAUAAUGUCAGAAUAACAGGAUUUUAAUUUUCCAUUUAUAGUCUUUGCAAAAAGGAAAAAGUUUCGGAGUAAUUUUUUUUUCAAACUUUGAUAUUUUUUCAAGUUUUCCAAAAAUGAAAAGACAGUAAAAAAAUAUUUCUUGAACUGUAUUCUAAAUAAAGCAAGCAUACGUCAAAGUUGGUGGCUUUUAAUUUCAAAUAAUAGCAAAGUUUGCUUCUUGAUUACAAAAUCAUCCUUUUAUCUUGAUCCUGAUAAUCAAAUUAAUGGGGUUGUUUAUUCUUCAACUAAAGUCGGGAUUAUGAAGGAGAGCAUUGACGUAACUGAUAAAGUUGUUGUUAUGUGAUCAGGAGUUCACGGGAUCGAGCCGUAAAAACAGACUCUUGCAGGAAUGCAGGGUAAGGCUGUAUAUUCUAGUCCCAAAGCUAGGAACGCGCGUCAAACCUUUCGGCCCCGUGUUAACCACAUAAAAGAGACGAUUCAUUCUAUUCCCUCGGUUAUAUUUGACUAAGACCCAGAGGAUAUCCCAAAGUGGGCAUUCGGGCUCAUCCCUCCCUUCACGGUCGCAGUCCUCUUAGCCAUAGGGUUUUCUUGCUCGCCCGUAACUCCUCUGUUGGCAUUGGUUCAUUUUCGGUAUGGCUACUGAGGAUUUGAUUCAAUACAGCGGAUGAGGAAAAUCCAGCAAGCUUAGACAAGAUAGAAAGUAAGGAAGACAGAAGGUGGGUAGCGAGGAAGAAAUCCAAUAGCCUGCUCAGCCUUAUACAGACCCUGCGCAUAGUGGAUGCUUAAUGCACGGGCUGCCUUUUUUAAAGUCAGGAUUAUGAAAAAUUAAAAAGUAAUUUGCUAAAUGCGAUACAAUAAUCAAACCAAAUACUGGUUAAAUUUUAUCGAUUUCGGUUCAAAAUGGUUCUUUUUUCUUUAAAUUUGUUAACAUCGAAGGAAUAUUUUAAUGAAAUGUUUUUUUAUAGGGACCAAUUAAAUUAAGAGUUAGGUACUUAGACUUGAUCUAUGGCAUAGUUUCUUCAUUAUAAUGUUUAACAAACUUUU